UGAAAUGUUGUUGUCGGAACUGGCUUUUAAUUCUAAGCCUAUCAUUACUGACCUUACCAUCAUUGCUGGCGAACAGAGAGAACAUGGUGAAGGCAUUGCUCAUGCGAUUUGUAAUCGGAUUUUAGAGGUCCCAGUUGAGCAGAAACUACCUGCAUUAUACCUUCUGGAUAGUGUUGUAAAAAAUAUUGGCAAGGACUACAUCAAGCAUUUCUCUGCCCAUUUACCUGAGGUUUUCUGUGAGGCAUAUAGGCAAGUGCACCCUAGCAUGCAUCCUGCAAUGCGCCACCUCUUUGGGACAUGGUCAACUGUGUUCCCAGCACCUGUUCUCCAGAAAAUUGAAACUCGUCUUCAGUUUUCACAGCCGGGGGUCCAACAAUCUUCUGGCUUGACUUCGUCAAGAGCAUCUGAAUCACCGCGACCAGCUCAUGGCAUUCAUGUAAAUCCAAAAUAUUUGGAAGCAAGGCGUCAGCUUGGGCACUCCACUAUUGAUUCAGUAAGAGCUGAAAAUUCUACAGGUCAUAUAUCUUCAGAUCUGGAAGCCAAGCAAGUUCUG
This 553-nucleotide unclassified non-coding RNA is filed under the name Hevea brasiliensis (rubber tree). The record is from RNAcentral. Lineage: Eukaryota; Viridiplantae; Streptophyta; Magnoliopsida; Malpighiales; Euphorbiaceae.